This 73-nucleotide transfer RNA is filed under the name Stegodyphus mimosarum. It matches the Rfam family "tRNA". From Rfam's summary of the family: Transfer RNA (tRNA) molecules are approximately 80 nucleotides in length. Their secondary structure includes four short double-helical elements and three loops (D, anti-codon, and T loops). The record is from Rfam by way of RNAcentral. Lineage: Eukaryota; Metazoa; Arthropoda; Arachnida; Araneae; Eresidae.
GCCUUCAUGGUGUAGCGGUCAGCACGCCGGACGCGCGUUCCAGAGGUCCGUGGUUCGAGUCCCGGCAAGGGCA